This 113-nucleotide ribosomal RNA is filed under the name Chelonoidis abingdonii (Abingdon island giant tortoise). The record is from RNAcentral. Lineage: Eukaryota; Metazoa; Chordata; Testudines; Testudinidae.
UGCAACCAUCCCCCACUGAGUCAGAAUCUAUCAGUUCUUAUCAGCUAAGUGGGGUUGGGCCUAUUCAGUACUUGCUUGGAAGACUACCAGAGAACGUUCAGGUGUGAUCGAGU